Molecule: ribosomal RNA, 186 nt
Filed under: uncultured Staphylococcus sp.
Lineage: Bacteria; Bacillati; Bacillota; Bacilli; Caryophanales; Staphylococcaceae
Description: partial 16S ribosomal RNA
Rfam family: Bacterial small subunit ribosomal RNA
Source: RNAcentral
GAACAGGAGCUAAUACCGGAUAAUAUAUUGAACCGCAUGGUUCAAUAGUGAAAGACGGUUUUGCUGUCACUUAUAGAUGGAUCCGCGCCGCAUUAGCUAGUUGGUAAGGUAACGGCUUACCAAGGCAACGAUGCGUAGCCGACCUGAGAGGGUGAUCGGCCACACUGGAACUGAGACACGGUCCAG